AGGCUUGUAGCUCAGGUGGUUAGAGCGCACCCCUGAUAAGGGUGAGGUCGGUGGUUCAAGUCCUCUCGGGCCUA
RNAcentral lists this transfer RNA (74 nucleotides) under Escherichia coli. Its description in RNAcentral is "tRNA-Ile". It matches the Rfam family "tRNA". From Rfam's summary of the family: Transfer RNA (tRNA) molecules are approximately 80 nucleotides in length. Their secondary structure includes four short double-helical elements and three loops (D, anti-codon, and T loops). Further hydrogen bonds mediate the characteristic L-shaped molecular structure. tRNAs have two regions of fundamental functional importance: the anti-codon, which is responsible for specific mRNA codon recognition, and the 3' end, to which the tRNAs corresponding amino acid is attached (by aminoacyl-tRNA synthetases). tRNAs cope with the degeneracy of the genetic code in two manners: having more than one tRNA (with a specific anti-codon) for a particular amino acid; and 'wobble' base-pairing, i.e. permitting non-standard base-pairing at the 3rd anti-codon position. The record is from RNAcentral. Lineage: Bacteria; Pseudomonadati; Pseudomonadota; Gammaproteobacteria; Enterobacterales; Enterobacteriaceae.